RNAcentral lists this ribosomal RNA (253 nucleotides) under uncultured bacterium. RNAcentral's name for it is "partial 16S ribosomal RNA". It matches the Rfam family "Bacterial small subunit ribosomal RNA", at positions 524 to 776 of the family's 1533-position model. The record is from RNAcentral.
UACGGAGGAUCCGAGCGUUAUCCGGAUUUAUUGGGUUUAAAGGGUGCGUAGGCGGUUUGAUAAGUUAGAGGUGAGAUGUCGGGGCUCAACCCCGAAACUGCCUCUAAUACUGUUGGACUAGAGAAUAGUUGCGGUAGGCGGAACGUAUGGUGUAGCGGUGAAAUGCUUAGAGAUCAUACAGAACACCGAUUGCGAAGGCAGCUUACCAAACUAUAUCUGACGUUGAGGCACGAAAGCGUGGGUAGCAAACAGG